This 450-nucleotide ribosomal RNA is filed under the name uncultured bacterium. RNAcentral's name for it is "bacterial SSU rRNA". It matches the Rfam family "Bacterial small subunit ribosomal RNA", at positions 355 to 825 of the family's 1533-position model. The record is from RNAcentral.
UCAAGAAACUUCCACAAUGGGCGAAAGCCUGAUGGAGCGACGUCGCGUGAUGGACGAAGUGCUUCGGCACGUAAACAUCUUUUAUGUGGGAUGAAAUUAUUGACAGUACCACAUGAAUAAGGGGCUCCUAACUCUGUGCCAGCAGGAGCGGUAAUACAGAGGCCCCAAGCGUUAUCCGGAAUCACUGGGCGUAAAGGGUGUCGAGGCGGUUGUAUUAGUCGUUCGUAAAAUCUACGAGCUUAACUUGUAGGCGGCGAACGAAACGGUACGACUUGAGGUUUGGAGAGGUGCGUGGAACUCACGGUGUAGGGGUGAAAUCCGUUGAUAUCGUGGGGAACACCAAAGGCGAAGGCAGCGCACUGGCCAAAAUCUGACGCUCACACACGAAAGCUAGGGUAGCGAAGAGGAUUAGAUACCCACGUAUUCCCUGAGCGGGCUGGCAAGGCGCAU